CAAUUGGCGCCAAUUGAAUGCAGCAGGCAGCAGCUUGGCACAUGCAUUGAUAGGAGAGCGGAUAUCUAUCAUACCAAGGACUUCCUGUAGCUCAGGAAACUACAGAUGAGCCACAGGGCCUCCAGGUCAGUGUUCUAGGGGUCAGCUGCUGCUGUAAACAACGGAUGCCCACUCUUCCCUCCUGUCCUGCAAUUCUCUUUUCAGCAUAACCCAGAUAGCAAACGUGCACGCUCUCUGAGUGCUGUGGAUACAGAGCCACCUCGAAUGCCUCCACUCAGCUCAUCCAAAACAACACACGUGCUGCCCUCUGCAGGCUGGCUACACAAACCAAUGACUGACCUCUCAAUCAGAGAACUUCAACCACUCCUGAAAAACAUACAGGGGAAGAGUAUGAGCUAUUCAUUUCUUAUGUAUUUUAGUUUUGGUUCUUUAAUAGGACUGUCCAAAUCAGUUAACCAGUGCAUGUACAGUAUUAUUAUAAUGACGCACUGCAAAGUGAUCAUCUGAUGAUUUAUCACCCCAGUGUUGAUCUGCUAAAUUGUAAUUACUCGCUCCUAUG
Molecule: long non-coding RNA, 559 nt
Organism: Salvelinus sp. IW2-2015
Lineage: Eukaryota; Metazoa; Chordata; Actinopteri; Salmoniformes; Salmonidae
Source: RefSeq, a predicted model, not a curated record